UUCCUCAUCCUCCAUUUGGAUAUGUGGUCUCGCCGUACGCUCAUCCGAACGGGACGCUUGGACCCGUUUCCAUGGUAAGUUACUUUGACAUAUCACACGAUAAACAUCAAAACUUAACAAACACGAAAAUGCGAGUGAUACUAGAAUGCGAAAUCGAUCGCACGAUGAAUUCAUAGCGACUUGUGUCACGCGAGGAAAUAAAAUCGUUCGCGUGAUUUUACACUCGAACGACUGCAUCGCUAAAUCGUUCACGUGACUGUCACAAAAGCAUCAAAAAACACAAUAUUUAACAUCGGUACUAUACUAACACGUGAAUAAUCGAAGCGACACUUCGCGCUGCUGGAGAUUAAAAGCGCGAAACCAGUCAUGUGACUAGCCGAAAAUAACCUACAGGAUAGGGAUGUUUAGGAGCCCUGCAGGGCCACGUGACGCGCCUAUUCCGGCCGAUUUCGGCGAAGUCGUGUGACGGGGUUCGUUGGCCCUUUAGGUGACCAACGGGACCACCCCAGCGGCCAAGCUGGCGGCGGGGGGAACGAUUUUUUGACAGCCAAGCGCCUACCAAAACUAAACAAAAAGGAGGACUAAUGUGUCCGUAAUGACAGAGAGCGGGCUGUUAACGGGUAGACCUCUUAUCUUGGUCCAUUAUAGCGGCCGUAAUGGGUCAUUAACGAAUAUCCCCGGCGUUCCUCCGACCUUGACCGACAGGUGCCAAAGCUACCAGUUCGUGUCAACCUUCGGAGCGAAAGCGGUUCCUGGAAUUUUCGUCUCCGGUCACGUGACAGCAGUUAACGCAGAUUUGCGACUGGUAAACAACUUUAAGCCAAGUUUGUCGCAUUUCAAACAAGAAUACAUACGAUACUGUAUAUUUUAAGAAUCGACACAGCGUUAGGAUCCUAAAAGUUACCAAAUAAUCCCUUUUUCUUUAUUGCUAUGCGAUAAGUAAGCGCUUUAACUCCGAUCCGGAAAGAUGAACAUUAAGAUUACUGAUCGAGGUUAAGGAAAUCCCAGAAAAAAUUGGCAAAUUGUGUACCAUUGUGUCUGAUGCUUUUUAUUGUUCCUACGCGUCUUAAUUUUUUUUUUUUUUUUAAUACUGGCAGUCUUUGAUAUGCGAUAGUUGCAGAUCGUUCAAAAUGGCCGAGUUUGGUGCAAGGCGUCGUUCACCUGACCAGAUUAAAGCUAGUCCAGUCCGGUUUAGACAUUGAUAGAGUGGGCCGUCUGCCAUUCUCCGUACCCUCGCCACUUCAGUCGCGCCAAGUAGCAGCUAACUAAGCCGAACAGCGUCGACGUCCCGUUUCGUUACGCUGAAGUCCCGCGUCCAUUAAUUUUCCCUGCGGUUGGUACCGCCCAAACUGACUUCUCCUGGUCACGCCAGUUUUCGGAUAGAAUCCGGCUUGCCUCCAGCUCUUUCACGUCUUCUGCCAGUAAAACGUUUGCGCGACGCUCAUCGCACACGGCGGACCGGUCUAUAACGGAAUUUUCGACGCUGAAGCACCGUUAAACGGGCCGAAACGCGCGCACACCGAAACAAACUUUUACACGGUAGACAUUGUAUUUAAGACGCAUUCAACGAUAUGUGUUAAUUUCGAAUUAAUUUUUUUUUUUUUUCGGGUUUCCAGAAGAAGGGUUACUGUUACCCUCCCAAUAUAUUCUGACUAUCGGUUUGAUGCGAGGCAGCAUUGAGUUGCGUUAACGUCAAAAAUCCGCAAGGGGUGGGAGUAAGUAGAUCGCUUUUCAUCAGACCGACAUAAGAAUAUAAUCUUCGUUGUCGGGUUGUUCUUGAUGGGCUUAAAGAGGCAAAAGCUGAUUACGGGUUGUUUAUGGGAGUAAUCCCAUCAAUGGGACGAUCCCAGCGGGAAGCGAUGACGUCGAGACUUAAUCAAAUGAUGAAAAAAUAGAGAAUGUCUGAUUUUGCGCUCGUUUGUCUUUGGGACAUGGUUAGACAGGUUUUAUAAUUAUUGUGCGCGGUUCGAUGGAACUUCUUUUAGGCAGAUGAUGAUGAUCGGCACUUCUGGCACGUGCCUAAUUAGAUGCUGAUGAUCAUUUUUCGAAUGCACUCAAAAGGAUGCUUCAGAUGCUUUCUCCAUUUUCUUCAGUAGAAUUUCAUUCAUAGCAUGCGCCUGUUUCAUACUUCUAUUAGAUGCAUUCAAGAUUAUAAGCAGGG
RNAcentral lists this long non-coding RNA (2161 nucleotides) under Androctonus crassicauda. The record is from RNAcentral. Lineage: Eukaryota; Metazoa; Arthropoda; Arachnida; Scorpiones; Buthidae.